RNAcentral lists this ribosomal RNA (489 nucleotides) under uncultured bacterium. RNAcentral describes it as "partial 16S ribosomal RNA". It matches the Rfam family "Bacterial small subunit ribosomal RNA", at positions 28 to 507 of the family's 1533-position model. The record is from RNAcentral.
GACGAACGCUGGCGGCGUGCUUAACACAUGCAAGUCGAACGGUGAAGGGACCAGCUUGCUGGUUCUGGAUGAGUGGCGAACGGGUGAGUAACACGUGAGUAACCUGCCCCCUUCUUCUGGAUAACCGCAUGAAAGUGUGGCUAAUACGGGAUAUUCUGGGUCUGUCGCAUGGCGGGCCCGGGAAAGAUAUUGCUUCGGUGGGGGAUGGGCUCGCGGCCUAUCAGCUGGUUGGUGGGGUGAUGGCCUACCAAGGCGGUGACGGGUAGCCGGCCUGAGAGGGGGGAAGGUCAGAAUUGGAACACGACACGGCCCAGAAUGCUACGGGAGGAAGGAGUGGGGAAUAUUGUGGAAUGGGCGCAAGCCCGAUGCAGCGACGCCGCGUGAGGGAUGGUGGCCUUCGGGUUGUAAACCUCUUUCGCAAGUGAAGCAGGCCUGUUACUUGUGGGUGGGUUGACGGUAGCUGGAUAAGAAGCGCCGGCUAACUACGUG